This 31-nucleotide non-coding RNA is filed under the name Rattus norvegicus (Norway rat). The record is from RNAcentral. Lineage: Eukaryota; Metazoa; Chordata; Mammalia; Rodentia; Muridae.
UAAUUGCCUCUAAUCUGGAUGGAAUAGCAUC